Molecule: long non-coding RNA, 392 nt
Filed under: Eutrema salsugineum
Lineage: Eukaryota; Viridiplantae; Streptophyta; Magnoliopsida; Brassicales; Brassicaceae
Description: long non-coding RNA (ESAL_LNC000372)
Source: RNAcentral
GUUGCUCCAAAGGGUAUAAUUGAUGGUGUAGAUCUCCCGCCAAUGCAACAAGAUGAUUGUGUCGACAUUACAAAACCUGAUGUUGAAGAAAAUGUUCUUUUAAUUGAUCCACGUAAUCGACAAGUUGAAGAUCUACAUGGGGACGAAACUGAAGAAGGUGCUGACGAAUUUCAAACAAGCAGUGAUGAUGACGAUGAUGAUGAGGACAACGAGGAAAAUGUUGAAGACUAAUUAAAUAUGUUGACAUUUAAUUGCAUGCUUUGAACGUUUAAAUGUAACAUUUGUCAAAUUUGAUAAAUUUGUUUAAAUUUAAAUGUUUUAAAAAUGAAAGACAAUUAAUGAAAAAAAAUUUGUUUAAGUGUUGACUUGGACAUAUGUUGACUAUUACGACG